GGGCUACCCGCUGAGUUUAAGCAUAUAAAUAAGCGGAGGAGAAGAAACUUACAAGGAUUCCCUUAGUAACGGCGAAGCGAACCGGGAUCAGCCCAGCUUUUGAGAAUCGGGCGGCUGCAUCGCCUGAAUUGUAGUCCGGAGAAGCGCCCUCAGCGACGGACCGGGCCCAAGUCCCCCGAAAGGGGCGCGGGGGGGUGAGAGCCCCGUCCGGCUCGGACCCUGUCACACCACGAGGCGCCGUCGACGAAGUCGGGUUGUUUGGGAAUGCAGCCCCAAUCGGGCGGUAAAUUCCGUCCCAAGGCUAAAUAUGGGCGAGACCGAUAGCGAACAAGUACCGCGAGGGAAAGAUGAAAAAAGACUUUGAAAAGAGAGUCAAAGAGUGCUUGAAAUUGCCGGGAGGGAAGCGGAUGGGGGCGGCGAUGCACCUCGGUCGGAUGCGGAACGGCGGUUAGCCGGUCCCGCCGCCGGCUUUCGGGUGCGGAUCGAUGCAGGCUGCAUCGACGGCCGGCCCUGACGGAUCGUUCGCUUCGAGGGGAUACCGUCCGAUGCGGUCGAGGACAUGACGCCAUCGCCAUCGGCGUGCCCCCCGGGGGUACACGCGUCGCGACCUAGGCAUCGGCCAGUGGGCUCCCCAUCCCACCCGCCUUGAAACACGGACCAAAAGUCCGACAUGCAUGCGAAGUCGACCAAAAGCGAAAACCCGAAGGCACAAGGAAGCUAACGGGCGGAACCCUCUCGAGGGUUGCACCGGCCGACCCGACCCCGAUCUUCUGUGAAGGGUUCGAGUUGGAGCCCGCAUGUCGGGACCCGAAGAUGGUGAACUAUGCCCGAAGCGAGGCGGGCCGAGGAAACUUCGGUGGAGGCCCGCGAUCUUGGCCGACGCAAAUCGUUCGUCCGACUUGGGUAUAGGGGCGAAAAGACUAAUCGAACCAUCUAUUAGCUGGUUCCCUCUAAAGUUUCCCUCGGGAUAGCCGGAGCCCACGGCGAAGUUCUAUCGGGUAAAGCCAAUGAUUAGAGGCAUCGGGGCGCAACGCCCCUCGACCUAUUCUCAAACUUUAAAUAGGUAGGACGGCGCGGUGCUUUUUGAGCGUCAUGAAAUCGAGAGCUCCAAGUGGGCCAUUUUUGGUAAGCGUAACCGGUGAUGCGGGAUGAACCGUAGCCGGUUACGGUUGCCCAAUCAUGAAGCAACCCGCACACCACAAAGGGUGUUGGUCGAUUAAGACAGCAGGAUCGGUCAUGGAAGUCGAAAUCCGCUAAGGAGUGUAACAACUCACCCGCCAAUCAACUUGCCCCGAAAAUGGAUGGCGCUGAAGCGCCGACCCACCCGACCAUCGGGCGAGCGCCAAGCCCCGAUGAGUAGGGGAGGGCGCGUGGCGGUCGCCGCCAGAAACCCCAGGGCGCGAGCCCCGUCGUCGCAGAUCUUGGUGGUAGUAGCAAAUAUUCAAAUGUGAACUUUGAAGGUCUGAAGGGGGAAAGGUUCCAUGUGAACGGCACUUGCACAUGGGUUAGCCGAUCCCUAAGGGGACGGGGAAGCUCGUCCGAGAGCGUGUCUCCGCGUGAACUCCGAAAGGGAAUCGGGUUAAAAUUCCCGCGCCCGGACGCUUGACGGCGACGGCAACGUUAGGAAGUCCGGAGACGUCGGCGGGGGCUCGGAAGAGUUAUCUUUUCUGCUUAACGGCUCGCCCACCACUGAAACGGCUCACCGGGAGGUGGGGUCCAGCGGUCGGAAGAGCGCCGCCGCGUCAUCAUCGGCGUCCGGUCGCCCGCGGCCCUUGAAAAUCCGGAGGACCGAAAAGCCGCCCGCCCGGUCGUACUCAUAACCGCAUCGUCUCCAAGGUGAACGACCUCGCCCAUGGAACAAUGUAGGCAAGGGAAGUCGGCAAAAUGGAUCCGUAACCGGAAAAGGAUUGGCUCGAGGGUCGGGCACGGGGUCCCGCCCCCAACCCGUCGGCUGUCGGAUCGCUGAAUCGCUUCGAAAGUGCUCUCGCGGGCGAGCUGGGUCGCCGUCGGUGCGGCCGGGGGACGGAUCGGAAUGGCCCCCUCGGGGGCUUUCCCCGCAUCGAACAACCGACUCGAACUGGUACGGACAAGGGGAAUCCGAUCGUUUAAUUAAAACAAAGCAUUGCGAUGGUCCCGCGGAUGCUCACGCAAUGUGAUUUCUGCCGGUCUCAAAUGUCAAAGUGAAGAAAUUCAACCAAGCGGGUAAAUGGCGGAGUAACUAUGACUCUCUUAAGGUAGCCAAAUGCCUCGUCAUCUAAUUAGUGAUGCGCAUGAAUGGAUUAACGAGAUUCCCCUGUCCCCGCUCUACUAUCCAAAUAAACCACGCCCAAGGAACGGGCUUGGCGAAUCAGCGGGGAAAGAAGACCUGUUGAGCUUGACUCUAGUCCGACUUUGUGAAAUGACUUGAGAGGUGUAGGAUAAGUGGGAGCCGGUUCACGGCGGAAGUGAAAUACCACUACUUUUAACGUUAUUUUACUUAUUCCGUGAGUCGGGCGGGGGCCCGCCCCUCCUUUUGGACCCCAAGGCCGCCUUAGCGGGCCGAUCCGGCGAAAAGACAUUGUCGGUGGGGAGUUUGGCUGGGGCGCACAUCUGUUAAAAGAUAACGCAGGUGUCCUAAGAUGAGCUCAACGAGAACUGAAAUCUCGUGAAAAAAAAGGGUAAAAGCUCGUUUGAUUCUGAUUUCCGAUACGAAUAUGAACCGGAAAGCGUGACCUAUCGAUCCUUUAGACCUUCGAAUUUGAGGCUAGAGGUGUCGGAAAAGUUACCACUGGGAUAACUGGCUUGUGGCAGCCAAGCCGCUCAUAGCGACGUUGCUUUUGAUCCUUCGAUGUCGGCUCUUCCUAUCAUUGUGAAGCGAAUUCACCAAGUGUUGGAUUGUUCACCCACCAAUAGGGAACGGAGCUGGGUUUAGACCGUCCGUGAGAUAGGUUAGUUUUUUACCCUCACCGAUGAUCGUGUCGCGAUAGUAAUUCAACCUAGUACGAGAGGAACCGUUGAUUCACACAAUUGGUCAUCGCGCCGGUUGAAAAGCCGCUGGGCGCCGGUUACCGUGGUGUCGGAUUAUGACCAACGCCUCUAAGUCAGAAUCUUAGCUAGCAACCGGCGCUCUGCCCGUCGUUUAAGCCUCCCCGACCUACAGUAGGGGCCUUUGGCCCCAUGGGCUCGUGUCGCCGGUGUAGCCCUCGUGGUGGUAUGGCCACCCGCCAUCGGGAAGUGAAAUUCCGCAUGGACGACGGGCGAAUCCUUUGCGACGACUUAAAUACGCCGAUGGGGCAUUGUAAGUGGUAGAGUGGCCUUCCCGCCACGAUCCACCGAGAUCCAGCCCCUGCG
RNAcentral lists this ribosomal RNA (3330 nucleotides) under Musa schizocarpa. RNAcentral describes it as "eukaryotic LSU rRNA". It matches the Rfam family "Eukaryotic large subunit ribosomal RNA". The record is from RNAcentral. Lineage: Eukaryota; Viridiplantae; Streptophyta; Magnoliopsida; Zingiberales; Musaceae.